Non-coding RNA from Triticum aestivum (bread wheat), 118 nucleotides. Lineage: Eukaryota; Viridiplantae; Streptophyta; Magnoliopsida; Poales; Poaceae. The record is from Rfam.
UUCAUACUCCCUCCGUCCGAAAGUACUUGUCAUCAUAGUUCUAGAACUAAAAUAUGUCUAGAUGCAUCCCCUUUUAUCCAUUUUGAUGACAAGUAUUUCCGGACGGAGGGAGUACAUC